RNAcentral lists this ribosomal RNA (431 nucleotides) under uncultured bacterium. RNAcentral describes it as "partial 16S ribosomal RNA". It matches the Rfam family "Bacterial small subunit ribosomal RNA", at positions 29 to 507 of the family's 1533-position model. The record is from RNAcentral.
AACGAACGCUGGCGGCAGGCUUAACUCAUGCAAGUCGAGCGCCCCGCAAGGGGAGCGGCAGACGGGUGAGUAACGCGUGGGAACGUACCUUUUGGUUCGGAACAACUCCGGGAAACUGGAGCUAAUACCGGAUAAGCCCUAACGGGGAAAGAUUUAUCGCCGAAAGAUCGGCCCGCGUCUGAUUAGCUAGUUGGUGAGGUAACGGCUCACCAAGGCGACGAUCAGUAGCUGGUCUGAGAGGAUGAUCAGCCACACUGGGACUGAGACACGGCCCAGACUCCUACGGGAGGCAGCAGUGGGGAAUAUUGGACAAUGGGCGCAAGCCUGAUCCAGCCAUGCCGCGUGAGUGAGGAAGGCCUUAGGGUUGUAAAGCUCUUUUGUCCGGGAAGAUAAUGACUGUACCGGAAGAAUAAGCCCCGGCUAACUUCGUG